This 678-nucleotide ribosomal RNA is filed under the name Triticum aestivum (bread wheat). RNAcentral describes it as "partial small subunit ribosomal RNA". Lineage: Eukaryota; Viridiplantae; Streptophyta; Magnoliopsida; Poales; Poaceae. The record is from RNAcentral.
AUGGGUUCUUUCCAAAAAGACGCUCCAUUCCAGGCCUCCCACGCGUCCUUCAAGAGAGGAGCUCGUGUGGCAGACGAUGAUGAGGAGGACGAGGAGAAGACUCCUGCGGACGAUCUCGGCGCGGCCAGGGCCACGCCGUUCGGCCGGCGAUCGCGCGCGGGCUCGUCGGUCACCGACAUGUCAAGCAACGCGUCCAUCAUCUACGGGAAGUCGGCGCGGCAGGACAGGUUCGGCAGCGAGGGCUUCUGGUGCGGCGCUUUCUGCAUGCACCUGCCCGGCCUGUCCAGGCGGCGGCCGACCAUGCAGCAGCAGCAGUCCAUGAGCCUGAGCGAGCCAGACGCCCCGGCGAGCACGGCCCGGCCUGACCAGCCUACCCGGAGCGGCGUGGUGUCCAAGGCGGCCUCCAUGGAGAGGUUCGGCCACAGCUCGUCGUCCUCCGGCAUGGUGUUCGGCGGCCGCGUGGACGCGGAGGAGGACGAUCAGGAGGUGUCGGCGUACUUCGACCUGCCGCUGGAGCUGCUCCGGAGCAGCAGCGUCGACAUGGAGUCGCCCGUCACGGCGGCGUUCGUCUUCGACAGCAGCCGGGGCCGGGGCAAGAGCAUGCUGCCGGACCUCGACUUUAGCUUCCCGGCGCCGCCUGCUUUCUCCAGUCCCUCUCCAUCGUCGCCACGGGCCUGA